Molecule: transfer RNA, 74 nt
Filed under: Bradyrhizobium sp.
Lineage: Bacteria; Pseudomonadati; Pseudomonadota; Alphaproteobacteria; Hyphomicrobiales; Nitrobacteraceae
Also listed under: 20 other names
Description: tRNA-Gln
Rfam family: tRNA
About the family: Transfer RNA (tRNA) molecules are approximately 80 nucleotides in length.
Source: RNAcentral
UGGGGGAUCGUCUAACGGUAGGACCGCGGACUCUGACUCCGCUAGUCUAGGUUCGAAUCCUAGUCCCCCAGCCA